RNAcentral lists this ribosomal RNA (292 nucleotides) under uncultured bacterium. Its description in RNAcentral is "partial 16S ribosomal RNA". It matches the Rfam family "Bacterial small subunit ribosomal RNA", at positions 505 to 796 of the family's 1533-position model. The record is from RNAcentral.
GUGUCAGCAGCCGCGGUAAUACGAACCGUCCAAACGUUAUUCGGAUUUAUUGGGCUUAAAGGGUAUGUAGGCGGCCCUUCAAGUCGGGUGUGAAAGCCCUCGGCUCAACCGAGGAACUGCGCCCGAUACUGUGGGGCUUGAGGGAGACAGAGGUAAGCGGAACUGAUGGUGGAGCGGUGAAAUGCGUUGAUAUCAUCAGGAACACCAGUGGCGAAAGCGGCUUACUGGGUCUCUUCUGACGCUGAGAUACGAAAGCUAGGGGAGCGAACGGGAUUAGAUACCCCCGUAGUCC